Molecule: ribosomal RNA, 703 nt
Filed under: Pleurotus ostreatus (oyster mushroom)
Lineage: Eukaryota; Fungi; Basidiomycota; Agaricomycetes; Agaricales; Pleurotaceae
Description: SSU rRNA
Rfam family: Eukaryotic small subunit ribosomal RNA
Source: RNAcentral
UAGUUUAUUUGAUGGUACCUUGCUACAUGGGAUAACUGUGGUAAUUCUAGAGCUAAUACAUGCAAUCAAGCCCCGACUUCUGGAAGGGGUGUAUUUAUUAGAUAAAAAACCAACGCGGCUCGCCGCUUCCCUUGGUGAUUCAUAAUAACUUCUCGAAUCGCAUGGCCUUGUGCCGGCGAUGCUUCAUUCAAAUAUCUGCCCUAUCAACUUUCGAUGGUAGGAUAGAAGGCCUACCAUGGUUUCAACGGGUAACGGGGAAUAAGGGUUCGAUUCCGGAGAGGGAGCCUGAGAAACGGCUACCACAUCCAAGGAAGGCAGCAGGCGCCGCAAAUUACCCAAUCCCGACACGGGGAGGUAGUGACAAUAAAUAACAAUAUAGGGCUCUUUUGGGUCUUAUAAUUGGAAUGAGUACAAUUUAAAUCCCUCAACGAGGAACAAUUGGAGGGCAAGUCUGGUGCCAGCAGCCGCGGUAAUUCCAGCUCCAAUAGCGUAUAUUAAAGUUGUUGCAGUUAAAAAGCUCGUAGUUGAACUUCAGACCUGGCUGGGCGGUCCGCUUAACGGCGUGUACUGUCUGGCUGGGCCUUACCUCUUGGUGAGCCGGCGUGCCCUUUAUUGGUGUGCGUUGGGGAACCAGGACUUUUACCUUGAGAAAAUUAGAGUGUUCAAAGCAGGCCUGUGCCUGAAUACAUUAGCAUGGAAUAAU